GAAGACAACAACUAUUAUAGAAUCACCAGCAUUACCCCCAACCAGUACUGCUUAAGCAUAGCCUGACAGAUUAGCAAUUAAACACAGGAAAAGAUGACAGAUGUUUAAUGAAAAACAAAUGAAAGCUAGAAAGCACCCGAACACCAGACUUCAUUGUUGCUCCCGAUUGA
Molecule: long non-coding RNA, 170 nt
Organism: Thalassophryne amazonica
Lineage: Eukaryota; Metazoa; Chordata; Actinopteri; Batrachoidiformes; Batrachoididae
Exons: 3
Source: RefSeq, a predicted model, not a curated record